GUUGAACGCUGGCGGCAGGCCUAACACAUGCAAGUCGAGCGGAGCGGCGGACGGGUGAGUAAUGAAUAGGAAUCUGCCUGGUCGUGGGGGAUAGCGUCAGGAAAGGGGCGCUAAUACCGCAUCCUAUCAGAUGCGCCUAGGUGGGAUUAGCUAGUUGGUGGGGUAAAGGCCUACCAAGGCGACGAUCCGUAACUGGUCUGAGAGGAUGAUCAGUCACACUGGACCUGAGACACGGUCCAGACUCCUACGGGAGGCAGCAUUGGGGAAUAUUGGACAAUGGGCGAAAGCCUGAUCCAGCCAUGCCGCGUGUGGGAAGAAGGUCUUCGGAUUGUAAAGCACUUUAAGUUGGGAGGCGGUACCUACAGAAUAAGCACCGGCUAACUUCGUGCCAGCAGCCGCGGUAAUAC
RNAcentral lists this ribosomal RNA (407 nucleotides) under uncultured bacterium. RNAcentral's name for it is "partial 16S ribosomal RNA". It matches the Rfam family "Bacterial small subunit ribosomal RNA", at positions 28 to 526 of the family's 1533-position model. The record is from RNAcentral.